CAAGGAAUUUUCCCCAAUGGGCGCAAGCCUGAGGGAGCAACGCCGCGUGCAGGACGACGGCUUUCGGGUUGUAAACUGCUUUUGCGUGGGACGAUAACGACGGUACCACGCGGAUAAGCCCCGGCUAACUCCGUGCCAGCAGCCGCGGUAAUACGGAGGGGGCAAGCGUUGUUCGGAAUUACUGGGCGUAAAGGGCGCGUAGGCGGUUUGUCACGUCAGAUGUGAAAGCCCCGGGCUCAACCUGGGAGGUGCAUUUGAUACGGGCAGGCUUGAACCCGGCAGAGGGUGGUGGAAUUCCCAGUGUAGAGGUGAAAUUCGUAGAUAUUGGGAAGAACACCGAUGGCGAAGGCAGCCACCUGGGCCGGUGUUGACGCUGAGGCGCGAAAGCGUGGGGAGCAAACAGGAUUAGAUACCCCCGUAGUCC
RNAcentral lists this ribosomal RNA (424 nucleotides) under uncultured prokaryote. RNAcentral describes it as "bacterial SSU rRNA". It matches the Rfam family "Bacterial small subunit ribosomal RNA", at positions 355 to 796 of the family's 1533-position model. The record is from RNAcentral.